AAUCUCCCUAUUGUAGUAAUCGCCACCCGUGAUGCUUGUUUUAGCAAACAACAAUCAGUCAUUCAACAACUUCAUGCACGGAAAGGUCGACUGAUAGUGAUGUGCACAGAAGGAGAUGCAGCAUCUGUUUCUGUUGGUGGAUCAUGUCGAGUUAUUGAAGUUCCACAGGUUGCGGACUGUUUGCAGCCAGUAAUCAAUGUAGUUCCAUUACAGUUAUUGGCCUAUCAUCUGACUGUACUGCGUGGAUACAAUGUUGAUCAACCUCGCAAUCUUGCCAAAAGUGUCACAACACAGUGAGCUAACCAUUUUCAAAGUCUUGAGCUAUGUUCAACCUCUACCACUUGAUGACAACAAUUAGUUCUACUAGUACAGCUUUUGACUCCUCCUACAGGCCGCAUUGACCCGAACAAUAUAUUUAAUUCACUUUGUAACAUCUAGGUUCUGUUUUCUGGGUAACAUAUUUAACAUAGCGGUGUUUUCUUAUUAGUGAUUGGUUAUAUAGCUGAGCUAUUCUUGUAGACUAAGAACUAUGGAAGGAGGAUAGAUGAAGAUCAUUUGGAGCAAGUCUCAAGAAAUUUCUUUUGAUUAAGUGUAUUUGUGUUACUGUUGAUGUGGCAAUAGAAAUGAGAGAUUGAAUUUCAAUGAGUGCAUUUCAGGAAGAGUACUCUGUGAUGUUCAAAGUUUGCAGUGAAUUAUCGUAGUGUAUUUCUAGUGGUGGUUGGUUCAUUACCUUUCCCAAAUAAGA
Non-coding RNA from Nicotiana tabacum (common tobacco), 745 nucleotides. NCBI's taxonomy places the organism in Eukaryota, Viridiplantae, Streptophyta, Magnoliopsida, Solanales, Solanaceae. The record is from RefSeq and is a predicted model, not a curated record.